RNA transcript from Hevea brasiliensis (rubber tree), 2580 nucleotides. It is a transcript of the gene named putative ubiquitin-conjugating enzyme E2 38, with no coding region annotated. The transcript has 2 exons. Lineage: Eukaryota; Viridiplantae; Streptophyta; Magnoliopsida; Malpighiales; Euphorbiaceae. The record is from RefSeq and is a predicted model, not a curated record.
GGGACCCACUACCAACAUUCCUAUCCUAUCAAUUCAAAACGGCACAAUUGUCUCUUCCUUUGACGCUCCGUCUCUCCUAAAACGCUCCAUUACUCCCCCCUCCUCAUGGCUCUCUCUAUAACCUCAAAACCUCGACAAUCAAACACCACCAGCAUUGGCGAGAUCCAAGAGAUCGAAGUUUUCCGCAGAUUCGACGUGCUAUCUGACUCCUCCGACCACCACUAUGUUAACGCCAACACCACCACCAAACACACAGGCGUUGAUUGUUUCACCAAUCUCUCUAGUGGUGUCCACAAGAAGAUCAUGCAAGAGUGGAAAAUCCUCGAGAAACACCUUCCCGAUUCCAUCUUCGUUCGGGUUUACGAGAAUCGGAUAGAUUUAUUACGAGCAGUGAUCGUGGGCGCCGCCGGUACACCAUACCACGAUGGACUAUACUUCUUCGACGUUGCUUUUCCGUCCGAUUAUCCGUCCCGGCCGCCUCACGUUUAUUAUAGAUCAUACGGGUUGCGUAUCAACCCGAACCUCUAUGCGAACGGGCGGGUUUGUUUAAGCCUUGUAAACACGUGGCCUGGUAGGAAGAGCGAGAAAUGGAACCCCAAUGAGUCUACGGUGCUCCAGGUUUUGGUUUCGAUCCAAGCUCUUGUGCUGAAUGAGAGACCGUACUUUAACGAACCUGGUCAUGGCAUGUGGCCGGGUCGGAUCAUCUGGGAGAAGAGAUCGAAUUCCUACAAUGAGGAUGUUUUUGUGUUGUCUUGCAAGUCAAUGCUGUUUCUACAGCGCAGACCACCAAAGAAUUUUGAGGGUUUUGUUGCUUGGCAUUUUAGAGAGCGAGCGAACGUGAUAUUAUCGGCUUGUAAUGCUUACACAAGUGGUCGAGCUAGAGUUGGAUACUGCCCAACUGAUGGGUCAUCGUCGAGCUCCCCGAUUGUUGAAGUAUCGGAUAAAUUCAAGGGAUUAAUAGCACAGUUGUAUCCUGAGCUGGUUGCAGCUUUUACCAGGAGUGGGGCUUCACGAGAGACUUUGAUCGAGCAGCUGAAGGUGGAGCGGAAAUCGGCGUCGUAUAAAGGCCAGGUGGUAGUUAAAAAGAAGGUCAAAUCCAAUAGUGGGGUUGCGAGAAGGGUUUUGGGGAAAUUAAAGAAGGUUUUGGGAUUGAAGAAGAAAAGUGGAAAAAGCAGCAGCGUCAAAAAGAAGACGAUGCCUUCUUGAAAGAGGCGGAAGAAUGGAAGCAACGCCUGGGAGGGAGAGGGACCCAUUGGGAAUUUUAUUUGCUUAGUUAGGGCACUUUAUACAAGGAAUUCAACUGCACCUCCACUGUUGAACAUGUUCUCAAGGCCAACGGGUGCAAAUUUAGCUCGCUUAUUGUGCUUGAGCACUGGUGAAAUGGUGAAUAUUUCAAAGGAAGAAGGUUGGAGUGUGAUCUUAGUCUGAUCUUUGGCCUUGACCAUGUGAAGAUUAUCAGACCUGUGAAGGUAGACAGUGAAUUGUUCCGUGUUUCGGUACACAGCUGUGAAGUCUUUUUGCUCCCAUUCGAUAUCAUGUGGGGAUACCACACCAGACAUUGAUUUGUAGCUUUGUGGGUAGGCCUUGUAUUUGUGCUCUUCAGGAUACCAUCCAGCUCCUUGGCAGUUGAAUACACCCACCACCCCAGCAUACUGCAUUUAGCAGAUUGGGCUUCAAGUAAUACGAAAUAUAGAAAACAAGUAAGUUAUAUACGUUCACUAGGCGUAUAAAUGUUGCAAAUUACCUUGUUUAGGUUCCAAAUUUUGAGCAGGGUCUUGCCAUCAAAAAGUGGGCUCUCAAAGAGGCAAUCUCUAGUUGGAAGGGCAUAAUGUUGGCAUCUGAGUAUAGUUCCAUCAGGAAGUACCAGCUUCCUCAGGAGAUUAAAAUAAUGGUGACCAACUUUGUCACUGACAUAAACAGGUCCACCAAAUAUGGCUCUUGAUACAGCAUGAAACUCUGCACAGAGAUGAUCUGACUGGAACAUGUCCCAAUCAGGUUGAACAAAUUGCCCCUGCUACAAGCUGUUGUAGCUGCAGUGGAUCAUGUGGACUCCUUGCAACCAGUAAACUCCCAUGGGAUAUCCAUUUGGGACUUCAAACCUGAAGUCAUUACCUACAUGACAGAAAUAAGCCAAUCAAGAUAAGCCAGGAAAGAAACCUCAAGGGACUAUUUUUCACAUUGUCAAAUUACAAAAACCAUUAUCUUAGUACUAGCAAUUUGCCAACUCUGCCCAUGGAAAUCUGUUUUGUCGCCAGGAAAAAGAAAUCAUUGCAUUGCUCCAUACUUGAAAUGAGUCCAGUUCCUCCAAAAUUCUUCUUCAGAGAUUUGGUCAGGCCAUCGUAGUAUGCCUUGGCAAGCUGAACUCUGCCACCGUAAUCCUCACAUACAUACUCCAGAGACUGUAGAAAUUGAGAACAAUGAUCAAAGGAGAAGAGAUGGGUUAUUUCUAAAACAUAAAGCUGCUAAAGAGAUUAUUAAUUCAGAAGGGGCUAAGGCCUGUGGGCGAAGAUGGUGGAGAUAAGUUUGCCGUUGAUAUUUAUUGCAACCAGUUAAUUAUGUACCAAAUGCUAGAUAAUCGAU